RNAcentral lists this ribosomal RNA (644 nucleotides) under uncultured Methanosarcina sp. RNAcentral describes it as "bacterial SSU rRNA". It matches the Rfam family "Archaeal small subunit ribosomal RNA", at positions 156 to 802 of the family's 1478-position model. The record is from RNAcentral. Lineage: Archaea; Methanobacteriati; Methanobacteriota; Methanomicrobia; Methanosarcinales; Methanosarcinaceae.
CGCACAUAUGCUGGAAUGCUUUAUGCGUAAAAUGGAUUCGUCUGCCCAAGGAUGGGUCUGCGGCCUAUCAGGUAGUAGUGGGUGUAAUGUACCUACUAGCCAACAACGGGUACGGGUUGUGAGAGCAAGAGCCCGGAGAUGGAUUCUGAGACAUGAAUCCAGGCCCUACGGGGCGCAGCAGGCGCGAAAACUUUACAAUGCGGGAAACCGUGAUAAGGGGACACCGAGUGCCAGCGUCAUACGCUGGCUGUCCAGGUGUGUAAAAUACACCUGUUAGCAAGGGCCGGGCAAGACCGGUGCCAGCCGCCGCGGUAACACCGGCGGCCCGAGUGGUGAUCGUGAUUAUUGGGUCUAAAGGGUCCGUAGCCGGUUUGGUCAGUCCUCCGGGAAAUCUGAUAGCUCAACUAUUAGGCUUUCGGGGGAUACUGCCAGGCUUGGAACCGGGAGAGGUAAGAGGUACUACAGGGGUAGGAGUGAAAUCUUGUAAUCCCUGUGGGACCACCUGUGGCGAAGGCGUCUUACCAGAACGGGUUCGACGGUGAGGGACGAAAGCUGGGGGCACGAACCGGAUUAGAUACCCGGGUAGUCCCAGCCGUAAACGAUGCUCGCUAGGUGUCAGGCAUGGCGCGACCGUGUCUGGUGCC